This 95-nucleotide transfer RNA is filed under the name Acidobacteriota bacterium. RNAcentral's name for it is "tRNA-Ser". It matches the Rfam family "tRNA". Rfam says of the family: Transfer RNA (tRNA) molecules are approximately 80 nucleotides in length. Their secondary structure includes four short double-helical elements and three loops (D, anti-codon, and T loops). Lineage: Bacteria; Pseudomonadati; Acidobacteriota. The record is from RNAcentral. RNAcentral also lists the same sequence under 1 other name.
GGAGGGGUAGCGAAGCCUGGCCGUACCGCGCCCGACUCGAAAUCGGGUUCUCGGGUUAUAACCCCGGGACGUGGGUUCGAAUCCCACCCCCUCCG